Molecule: ribosomal RNA, 253 nt
Filed under: uncultured bacterium
Lineage: Bacteria
Description: partial 16S ribosomal RNA
Rfam family: Bacterial small subunit ribosomal RNA
Source: RNAcentral
UACGUAGGGUGCAAGCGUUAAUCGGAAUUACUGGGCGUAAAGCGUGCGCAGGCGGUUAUGUAAGACAGGUGUGAAAUCCCCGGGCUUAACCUGGGAACUGCAUUUGUGACUGCAUAGCUAGAGUACGGUAGAGGGGGAUGGAAUUCCGCAUGUAGCAGUGAAAUGCGUAGAUAUGCGGAGGAACACCGAUGGCGAAGGCAAUCCCCUGGACCUGUACUGACGCUCAUGCACGAAAGCGUGGGGAGCAAACAGG